GGUCAACAGAAGGCAAAUCUCCAACGACACACAGCAACAUAAGCUUUGCAAACUUCUCUUGCCACACCCAGCUUAACUAACUUACCAAGACACUGAUGUUUAUUUGAGCUCUCUGAAGUUUUAAUCAUAUUUACAGAUCAACCUGAUGAAACUCAGUUACUUAUGGCUGACUACUGUUAUUGCUGACCCACAGCCUUGUGUUGCCAGGCACUGACAACCGUUCUUCAAGGCCGGAGUUACUGUUUGGUCCUGAAAUUCUCAACUGUAACACAAGAGCCACCUGAGAGCUGAUGUAUCGAGGAGGUACCCUGGAAACAUUUUGUGAUGCUGACCACCUGCUAAGCCACAGAAAUGCUGGCUUCAAACACCAGUAAAAGACUUUGAAAAGGAACAGGCGUGGCUCUAAUUUCCAUCAUACUGCUGCACUAACUCCCCUGAAAUUGGGAUCAAAGAUCCAGCCUGGGGAAGAGCUGCUUUACUUUUCCCCCCAUCCUUUUACUCUCCCUGGUUUUAUUACCCAUGUGUAAAUUAAAAGCCCAGUUUGCUUGCUGCUCUGUGGAAA
Molecule: long non-coding RNA, 562 nt
Organism: Cyanistes caeruleus (blue tit)
Lineage: Eukaryota; Metazoa; Chordata; Aves; Passeriformes; Paridae
Source: RefSeq, a predicted model, not a curated record